Molecule: ribosomal RNA, 387 nt
Filed under: uncultured bacterium
Lineage: Bacteria
Description: bacterial SSU rRNA
Rfam family: Bacterial small subunit ribosomal RNA
Source: RNAcentral
GACGAACGCUGGCGGCGUGCCUAACACAUGCAAGUCGAACGGGGUAAUCCUUCGGGGUUACUUAGUGGCGAACGGGUGAGUAACGCGUGAAGAACCUGCCUUUCAGUGGGGGACAACAGUUGGAAACGACUGCUAAUACCGCAUAAUGUUAUUUGGGGGCAUCCUCGAAUAACCAAAGCUUUAUGUGCUGAAAGAUGGCUUCGCGUCUGAUUAGCUAGUUGGUGAGGUAACGGCUCACCAAGGCGACGAUCAGUAGCCGGACUGAGAGGUUGAACGGCCACAUUGGGACUGAGAUACGGCCCAGACUCCUACGGGAGGCAGCAGUGGGGAAUAUUGCACAAUGGAGGAAACUCUGAUGCAGCCAUGCCGCGUGUGUGAAGAAGGCCU